RNAcentral lists this ribosomal RNA (465 nucleotides) under Vreelandella stevensii. Its description in RNAcentral is "partial 16S ribosomal RNA". It matches the Rfam family "Bacterial small subunit ribosomal RNA", at positions 338 to 795 of the family's 1533-position model. Lineage: Bacteria; Pseudomonadati; Pseudomonadota; Gammaproteobacteria; Oceanospirillales; Halomonadaceae. The record is from RNAcentral.
CCUACGGGAGGCUGCAGUGGGGAAUAUUGGACAAUGGGGGCAACCCUGAUCCAGCCAUGCCGCGUGUGUGAAGAAGGCCCUCGGGUUGUAAAGCACUUUCAGUGAGGAAGAACGCCUGGUGGUUAAUACCCAUCAGGAAAGACAUCACUCACAGAAGAAGCACCGGCUAACUCCGUGCCAGCAGCCGCGGUAAUACGGAGGGUGCGAGCGUUAAUCGGAAUUACUGGGCGUAAAGCGCGCGUAGGUGGCUUGAUAAGCCGGUUGUGAAAGCCCCGGGCUCAACCUGGGAACGGCAUCCGGAACUGUCAAGCUAGAGUGCAGGAGAGGAAGGUAGAAUUCCCGGUGUAGCGGUGAAAUGCGUAGAGAUCGGGAGGAAUACCAGUGGCGAAGGCGGCCUUCUGGACUGACACUGACACUGAGGUGCGAAAGCGUGGGUAGCAAACAGGAUUAGAUACCCCGGGAGUC